GCAGACAUAGCUCAGUGUUAUAAGUGCCUGCCUGGCAAGCACAAGGUCCUGAGUUCUAUUCCCGGUACCAAAAAAAAAAAGAAAAAUAAGGUAAAAGUGUGAUGGGCUUGGCUUUGUUUCUUCACUGUAUUUUCUAUUUUCCCAGACUUUGGACCCACGUCUUUGCUAGCACUUUAGGAACUGUCCCAUCUGCAGAAUGAAAGGUCUCAGGCCCAAGGCCAAGGCCGCAGGCUCCAGGUUUCUGAGCCUGGUACCCUGAGUUCAUUGAUUCUACCACCGCAGUAGAGUGGCACCCUUACCCUUAUCUUGCUGGAGCUUCAUAGGCUGAUCUAGAAGGCUGAUUUCUCAGCAGGGCAGUUAUGUGUCUUGGAACACUGCAGGGGUUUCACUAAAUUGCGAGGCUCCUGCCUCUGUCACGAGGAGCAGGGCUACAGCGCGCUUCCCCAGGCAGACCUGCACUCUCCUUCAUCUCCAGAGAUCUAACAUUGGCUACUGCACGCCUGCCACACACAUGGAGGGGGCCCGGGGCCUGUGAUCCUAGCCUUCGCUCAUGCGCUGCAUCUUGUUGGGUUGUCACGCCUAUGGUUUCGUGGACGAAGGGUGUUGAUGGCUCCCAGCAUCACGCAGGAAGUGGGGUGAAAAGUGGCAGCCGUGUCCCUCUCUACCCUCCUCCAGCAACGAACGGGCACUCCCCCAACAACAUACUGGCCCCCAGCAAGGCUGACUUCCGUGCCCCUCUCAUUGGCCAAAGGUCAGCUCCACGGGCAAAAGACACAAAAACCUUAGGCUUUCCAAUCUCAGCUGUGGUGAGACAGGCGAGGAGGAGGGCUGGGAAAGGUGAUU
Molecule: long non-coding RNA, 843 nt
Organism: Chinchilla lanigera (long-tailed chinchilla)
Lineage: Eukaryota; Metazoa; Chordata; Mammalia; Rodentia; Chinchillidae
Exons: 3
Source: RefSeq, a predicted model, not a curated record